Molecule: ribosomal RNA, 253 nt
Filed under: uncultured bacterium
Lineage: Bacteria
Description: partial 16S ribosomal RNA
Rfam family: Bacterial small subunit ribosomal RNA
Source: RNAcentral
UACGGAGGGUGCAAACGUUGCUCGGAAUCAUUGGGCGUAAAGCGCACGUAGGCGGCCCAGCAAGUCGGGUGUGAAAGCCCUCGGCUUAACCGAGGAAGUGCAUUCGAAACUACUGAGCUUGAAUACUGGAGAGGAUCGCGGAAUUCCCGGUGUAGAGGUGAAAUUCGUAGAUAUCGGGAGGAGCACCGGUGGCGAAGGCGGCGACCUGGGUAGAUACUGACGCUGAGGUGCGAAAGCGUGGGGAGCAAACAGG